AAAAGUAAACCUAAAAAUGAAUUAAAAAAUAAAACCAACCUCGUGACUACCUCCUCAUCCUUAUCUCUUCAUCAACGCUCUCUCCUCCCCCUCACCUUUCUCGAUCCAGUCACAACAAAUCUGUACUUUCUCUCUCCUCUUAUCUUCAUCCAACAUCAUUCGCUCUUCUUAUUUCUCCUGAUAUACUCUCUCUUGGUGUGCUAGCUGCUGUACUUCGUCUCUGCUACUGUCGCUACUUCAUCUCAGCCACUGUCGCUGCCCCGUCUCCGCCGUAGACGUUGCUGCCCCGUCUCCGCCUAGCUACUGCUGCUCUCUCCGCUUUGUCACUGUUGGUAUUUUUUUUAUUUAAGUAAAUUUUUGAGUAAUUAUUUGAUUGAUUUGAUUAAUUGUUUUUAAUAGCAUGUAAAAAUGAUAUUGUUCACGAUUGUCAUUGCCAUGAUAAUGAUUUCACUACAAAUGCCAUUUUGUUGAUGAUGCACAAUUUGAAUUUAUUGCCUGUCACUCCAAAAAUAAUUUUUUUUUUUAAGAGAGAAAAUGAUUUAGGAAAAUUGGGCUUUUGUUAUUAGAGAGAAAUAGAGAUUUUUCAAGCUUUGCUUUAGAUGGAAUUCUCUUAAACAAUCUGCAAUUUGAAUUUAUUGACUGUCACUCUAAAAACAUAUAUAUUUUUUAAGAGAGAAAAUGGUUUAGGCAAAUUGGGCUUUUGUUAUUAGAGAGAAAUAUAGAUUUUUCAAGCUUUGCUUUGGAUGGAAUUCAUUUAAACAAUUUGCAAUUUGUGGAAGUGAGAAUUAAAAAUAAAAACCCAUUUUUUGUUGUGCCAAAAAAAAAAAAAAGUUAAAAAAAAUUAACAUACUAUAAGAAAGCUUACUUUUUGGAGCAUUUGAUGAACACUUCAUUAAGUCUUAUGUAGCAUUUUGUCCAACGCUAUUUUGGACGAUGCUGUAAAGGUAGAAUGUCUAAUGUAGCGGUCAACAAAUGUUGUAAAAAGAGUAUCAUAAAAAUGUUGUAAAGACAAAAUAACAUUGGGAAAACGCCGCAAAAACUGUACUGCCAAAAACCAACAUUCACUUGUUCCUUUAAAUAUCAAAAUUAAAUAUUCAUACAAUUUUUCAAAAUAGAAUAUCCAAAUUUCAAAAUUAAAUGUCCAUACAAAUAUAGAGAUUUAAAAAGUUACUGCAUAUGUCCAUACAAACAUCAAAAUUGAAUAUCCAAAUAUAGGUUGUACACAUCAGGUCAAUAAUAUUCAAUACAUCAACAAACCAUUUAGUUUAAGGCUACAUAGUUCUUCGGCCAAGCAAUCGUGCUUCCAAUUUCAUCAUCAAGAACAUAAAAAUCAGAUGUCAUACGAUAUAAAGGAGUUUUUCCUAUUAUUGUUAUUGUAACCUAAACCUUCCAAUAAUUUGGUCCAAGAUCCAUGUGAUGUGCCUUUGAAAGUGGAUUUGUUGAUGCAACUGUUCCUUCUCCGAAAACUUUUAUUAUGCCCUUCCAAUCCAACAAUUUGCAUUGUGUAUUCUCCACGUUAGAUUCAUUAAAUCCAUGUCUGUUGGUGCUUUGUAUCUACCACAAACAAGAACAAUGAAACAAAGGUAUUAGUCUUAGAACAUAAUUAUUGACUUCUUAAAAUGAUCCAUAAAGGUGUUAGUCUUAGAAUAUAAUUAUUUUCUUAAAACUAUCUAAAACUUACUUGUGAAUUAUCUUCAAAAUCUUGCAUUUUUUCAUUUCUACAAUUUUGAACCUACAAGUACAUAAAAUGUCUGAAGAUUACUUCUAGCUAUAACCAAAGUUAAAAAAUUGAAUUAAAAGCAAAUAAAUAAUUUAAAAAAAAAACAGAGCAAUACUAACCAACAAUAUGGCUUCCAACUUUCAGAAAGUGUCAUAACUCAUAUUCAAAUUAAAUUCAUUAAUACCAACUUUCAGUAAUUAACAAAUGAGACUUGAAGUUCAAUAUACAACUAAGCAAAUGUAAACAUAUAUAAAAAGACAUAUACAUUCAUUACCUCAUGUGUCCUCAUGUAAUUGAUGAAUGAUGCUUGAAGUUCAUUAUAUUUGGCAUGAAGAUCAUUUAGUCUGCUCUCAGGCUGAGAAACAUUUGAGUGGGUAAUUGCUUGUAAAGCCAAUUUAGAAGGUGUGGCUGCGAAUCCAAAUCCUCGCACUCGUCCAAGACGUUCUUUUCCCAAUACACGAGUUAAAGCAUCACUUUUGACAGUACAUUUACCUAAGUCACGAUGUGUCCUCCUAUAUUAUUUAAUAUUUUCUUGUAAGCAUGUGUUUUAAAUUCUUAUUAGCAAACUAAUUAACGGGUAAAUAAAAAUGUUAUAAAAGAAAAAAUAUUAAUCACCAAGUUAUCAGCAAUUUCUUUAUCAAUUGGAGUUCCAUCUUUCUUUGAAUAGGCAUGAGACCAAAUGUCAACUCGAGUUAUUGAUGAAUUUGGAUUUUGUUUUAUCUACAAAAUAUAUAGAUCAUUAUUUGAUUACCGAACUACGUGUAAUGCAUAAGAAUAAAAACUUAACAAGAAAAAUUACCAUUUCAUGUCUCAAACGAGGAAGUCUUUUACGGCCUGUACGAUGAACUCUUUUUUGCUUUGCCCUCAAAGCUUGUAAAUAUUUGCUUUUCAACUAGAUGAACUGGAAAAGUGAGUGAAUUAUUACAUAAAAAUUUCCUUACACAAUUUAGAAGAAUCAUACUGAUCUGAAACUCUCUAGAAGUUCUAUCUCUAAUGAAUUUAUUCCACUUUUGCUCAGAUUUGAUGUUUUGAGGUUUCAUCUCUCUCAAUGCAGCAAGGUGAUUGAUCACAUCUUAUUUUUCUUGACAACUCUGACUUGUACGUUCUCUAAAUUUUUCCCAUCAUCAUAAGAAUAUAGUCUCUGUAACAAUCAUCAAUGAUGAAUUGUUGCUGCAAUAGUAAAAAAUGUUUAUUAGUUAAGGAAAUACUAGAAGAUAUACAUUUCAUCAUAAAUCAACACAUAUCAAACACUACCUGGACACAAAUCCAAAGUAUUUUUCUUAAAUCUUCAUCAACUUUAUGCCAACUAUUCAAUGUUAUAGGCAUCAUUUGUUUUACCAAGCUACCACUAUAAGAAGACAAUUUAAUGGAAUUAUCACCAACAGCCUACCCAAUCUCAUUAAAUGAAACAUCCAUACGUUUGCCAUCAAUAGAUGCAACAACGUCAAUCUUUGCAAGACCCCUUUUCCUUUUAUUCACUUUUGGAAGAAAUAUUGAAUUAUGAGAAUCAGAGUCACUAAACUCACUGUCUUCAGGUUCAUCUCUAGCAAUUAUAUGUUUUCCCUUUGCUCUUUUUGCUGCCUGUUUAAAGGACUAUAUAUAAUCAUGAUUAAAAUUAGAGUAAAUAAUGAAAAUAGACAAAUCUAAGUUGAUAAUAUUGAAUUAUAACUUACAUCUAUAAGUCCCCUCUUCUUUUUCUUUUUUGGACAAUCAGAAUCAAAUUCACUAAACUCAAUCUCUUUAAGUUCAUCUAAGAUAGCUACAUGUUUUCUCUUUGCUUUUUUUUUUUUUUGCUUAUAUAGAGCACAAUAUAAACAUAAUCAAAAUUAAAAUAAUCAAAAUAACAAAUUCUAAGCCGAUAAUACUGAAUCAUGACUUACAUUAAAAGGUGCAGCCAAAUGAAUCUUUGUAAGACCUUUUCUUUUCUUUUUCUUCUUUUUCGUACAUAAGGGGGGAUAGGUUGAAUUAUCUGAAUCAAAAUCUGCAAUCUUUCUAUAUCUUCAUUAUUAUCUCUAAGAGUUGUGACUAUAGCUGCAAGUUCUUUCUUAUGUUUUUUUUUCAGCUUGUUUAGAAGACUGCAUGUAUGUUAUUCAAAUUAGAAUAAAUCAGCAAAACAUUUUUAAUAACUGCUGAUAUUUAAAUAAGAACUUACUUCUCUAAUUGUUUUUAGCAUUUUGUAAACAAUUUGACGCUGUCCUACAUUGAAUUGGUUAAUGGGCAUGUUUACUUGAAAAAAAAUAUAAAAGAGAAACAAAGCAAAAGCAAUACGUAGAAAAGAUAUAUAUGAUAACAAUAAACACUAAUAAAAAAAGCUUACACUGAACUAUGAAAAAAAAAACUUUUUGCUAGGGUUGUAUUUCUUUCCAAUUGAUCAC
RNAcentral lists this long non-coding RNA (4095 nucleotides) under Citrus maxima (pomelo). Its description in RNAcentral is "long non-coding RNA (CMAX_LNC001861)". The record is from RNAcentral. Lineage: Eukaryota; Viridiplantae; Streptophyta; Magnoliopsida; Sapindales; Rutaceae.